CUCAGUUCGGACUGCAGUCUGCAACUCGACUGNACGAAGCUGGAAUCGCUAGUAAUCGCGGAUCAGCACGCCGCGGUGAAUACGUUCCCGGGCCUUGUACACACCGCCCGUCACACCAUGGAAGUCUGCAAUGCCCGAAGCCGGUGGCCUAACCACUUAUGUGGAAGGAGCCGUCUAAGGCAGGGCAGAUGACUGGGGUGAAGUCGUAACAAGGUACC
This 218-nucleotide ribosomal RNA is filed under the name uncultured bacterium. RNAcentral's name for it is "partial 16S ribosomal RNA". It matches the Rfam family "Bacterial small subunit ribosomal RNA", at positions 1287 to 1500 of the family's 1533-position model. The record is from RNAcentral.